UGAGGAAUAUUGGUCAAUGGGCGAGAGCCUGAACCAGCCAAGUAGCGUGAAGGAAGAGUGCCUUACAGGUAAUAAACUUCUUUUCUUCGGGAGUAAUGACAUCUACGAGUUAGGUGUAGAGUAAGUACCGAAAGAACAAGCAUCGGCUAACUCCGUGCCAGCAGCCGCGGUAAUACGGAGGAUGCGAGUGUUAUCCGGAUUUAUUGGGUUUAAAGGGUGCGUAGGCGGACAGUUAAGUCAGCUGUUAAAGGACCAUGCUCAGCGUGGGAAGUGCAGUUGAAACUGACAGUCUAGAGAGUACAUAAGGCAGUUGGAAUUUGUGGUGUAGCGGUGAAAUGCAUAGAUAUCACGAAGAACACCGAUAGCGAAAGCAAGCUGCCGGGGUGCGUCUGACGCUGAG
This 400-nucleotide ribosomal RNA is filed under the name uncultured bacterium. RNAcentral describes it as "bacterial SSU rRNA". It matches the Rfam family "Bacterial small subunit ribosomal RNA", at positions 355 to 750 of the family's 1533-position model. The record is from RNAcentral.